This 464-nucleotide ribosomal RNA is filed under the name uncultured bacterium. Its description in RNAcentral is "SSU rRNA". It matches the Rfam family "Bacterial small subunit ribosomal RNA", at positions 26 to 518 of the family's 1533-position model. The record is from RNAcentral.
AGAAUCAACGCUGGCGGCGUGCCUAACACAUGCAAGUCGAACGAGAAAGUGGAGCAAUCCAUGAGUAAAGUGGCGACCGGGUGAGUAACACGUGACUAACCUACCUUCGAGUGGGGGAUAACCUCGGGAAACCGAGGCUAAUACCGCAUAACAUCGCAAGAUCAAAGCAGCAAUGCGCUGGAAGAGGGGGUCGCGGCUGAUUAGCUAGUUGGCGGGUAACGGCCCACCAAGGCGAAGAUCGGUAGCCGGCCUGAGAGGGCGCGACGGACCGACGACCUGGAACUGAAACACGGUCCAGACUCCUACGGGAGGCAGCAGUGGGGAAUUUUGCGCAAUGGGGGAAACCCUGACGCAGCAACGCCGCGUGGAGGAUGAAGCCCCUUGGGGCGUAAACUCCUUUCGACCAAGACGAUAAUGACGGUACUGGUGGAAGAAGCACCGGCUAACUCUGUGCCAGCAGCCGC